This is a long non-coding RNA of Aethalodelphis obliquidens (Pacific white-sided dolphin), 174 nucleotides long. RefSeq lists it as uncharacterized. NCBI's taxonomy places the organism in Eukaryota, Metazoa, Chordata, Mammalia, Artiodactyla, Delphinidae. The transcript is spliced from 5 exons. The record is from RefSeq and is a predicted model, not a curated record.
UACAGGUUAGGGUUAGGGUACAGGUUAGUGUUAGGGUACAAGUUAGGAUUAAGGUAUGGGUUAGGGUACGGUUUAGGGCACAGGUACGGUUUAGGGUACAGGUUAGUGUAUGACAACAGGUUAGGGUUAGGGUAUGUGUUAGGGUACCAGUUAGUUUUAGGGUACAGUUUAGGG